AAAGAUAAAACCGUGUAGCCCAUAGUCCAAAGUGGAUAACACCUCAUUGGCCCCGUGCUCAGGUCUGACAAACAAGGCAACUUGUCAACAUGGAUACCAUAUAGCACUGUUCCACUCGAUGAUUAAAGGGUACACUAAAACCCCCUCAUAUACCAUUUGUGGCUAAAUAUUAGACUUAAGCAAUCUCAAUAUAAGGAAUCCACAAUAAACAUCAAUAGUGAAAUUCACUAAUCCUUACCAAAUCCAAUUUUCUUCUCCUAGAAAAAUUGGCCCAUCUAGGGAGACUACCAGCGUGCAUGCCUUUUGACAUGCCUCUUCACCGACGUUACUAAUAAAGCAUAUUUGAUGGUAAUUCUUACCCAGCAAGUACAUUGGAUAGUGAUCUAAUCAUCCUGUCAGUUCCAUCAUAUGGCAGCACAACAAAGUAUAUGAUAAAUUUACCCAGUGAAUAGCUCUCAGACGUCAGAAGUAUCUGUGGCUAGAAUAAGAUUUGAGUUUAAAGGUGUAGACUAUGAGCAAAAGGGUUGAAUGUCCAGUGUCGGAUGACAAAAUUUUCUACAUAGACUCGGGUAUAUACAUAUUCUUGAAAAUUUUCACCAUAAGUAACUAACCACAAUAAGCAUUAUUGCAGAUGAGAACUUUAUUAAUAGUUCUCCAAAUAGUCUUGCUUCAGAAAAAAAUUCAGAAAAUAACCUGCUGAAAAUCAAAUCAUAGAUCGAGCUUCUGAAGUGGAAAUAGAUGGACUUGUCUUUAUGAACAUAGUAAAGGCCAGGUGAAACAGAUACAUAGGCCACUUUGGCCUCAUAACUAAUAAAGCAAUUUGGCCCAUCUUACAUAUGAUGCUCUUAAAUCAUGACGAAGGACUUUGUUUUUUAGAAUGCUCAACCAUGCAAUGAGCCAUGAGGUGACAAGUUUGUAGGGGAGAGAACAAUGUGCGGAUGGAAGUUUGUUCUCCCUCUUUCUUCCUUUUCUCUUUCAAUUGUAAAGCCAGUAUCAAAAUGGUGACAUGUGGAUGGUGCAUACUCAUCCAGUUGACAUAAGACAUGGCAUCAACAACUUAAUUUUCCAUAAAAACUUCAUCUAAUUAUCAUGGAAGGAUCUCAUAUCACUCCUGCUUGUAAAGAGAAGUUGAUAAAUGCCGACAAAUGACUUGAAAUCAGCAUGAGUAGUGCCAUCAAAAUUAAAAUCCUUGAUCACCAGUACCUAAUAAUGAUGUAAAGAAUUAGGUGAACAGAUAAAUUCCAAUGGUUAUUAUCCCGUGCUUGUUUACAGCAAAUGAGGCCAAACUUGGGCUGAGGAAGAAUUGGCUGCUCUUGUCAUUGUGAUUAAAGAUUGGCUUCCUAUGGUCAGAUGCUCUAAUUCGGUCAUAUGCUGUAAUUCAUAAUCAUUUGAAUUUUUCCCAAAGAUCUACAAAAUUAACUUACAAUAAAUAAAUAAGAUUUCCCAAGAAAAGAAGGGCCGAUAUGUACUCUUUUGCAGUCAAUUUGAUAUGACAGAUCACUGGGUUCAAAUAGAUGGAAAGCAGCAUUCCAGUGGCUGAACCUUUGAUCACAACGCAGCAUCAACAUCACAUUGAUGUUGAGAUUCAGAAUUAACUUAAACAAACUACACACCAGACAUCUCCUAAUGGAGCUAACGUCAUAUCUUGCUGCUAGAUAUUUAGACAAGUUAUAACAAUGUGACAUCUAGAGAUUAAAGUUAAUGUAACAAUCUCAUCAUGAAGUUUUUUCUUUUUUAUGUCAUCAUGAAAUUAGAAAAGAUAAAAUAAUUAUUGUUAGUAUCAUAAGAAAAGGUGGAGCAAGACCUAAACAGUUCUUAAUAGAAACUAUAAAUAAAGACUUAAAUAUUCUUAACUAAAUACAUGAAUUUUUACGGAUCCCAAUGAUGGGAAAAGAUUCAUAUAGCCAACCCCAAAUAGUUGGGACUUAUUGCUUUGUUGUUAGUGUUGUUGCUGGUUGAUGCUGUAACUUCUAAAAUUAUGAUCUAAUUAAUUCUAAUUAAUUCUUUUCAUUAUCUUGAAAUGCUACAUUAUACUAUAUAACUAUAAAACACAAAUAUGAUAAGUGUUUGCAGUAAGUGUUUGCAGAGCUCUCAUAGAAGACUACUUACUAGCAUUUCCUCGCAGUCAGCAAUGAAGUAAUCUGGAGAAAGUUUUGCCUUCUCUAAGAAUUGUUCCUGCACUGGAUAGUUGUAAAAUUAAAAACUAACAUUGUUCAUAACCAUAUCUGCAAUCAGUGCUGGUUGUUAAGUAAUUAAAUCAAAUGUACUUGAACAACAUAUUAACAAAGGAAGUUAAUAAGAAUAUAUCAAUCACAGUUAUGGAUAAAUCCCCGGUUAAAAAAAAAACUUUUCUCUUAUUGUCCCAGAGUUACAAAUUAUUACAUGAAUUAGGGAGCAUGACAUUUCACAACUAAUUAACAGUGAAAACUAAAAGGAGAUGGCUUUAGCUAGAAAUUCAGCUGGUUGAACAAACGAAAACUUCAUCAUUCUUUGAGCUAGAUAACAUGACAUCCAAGCAUCAUAAUUUAUUUUACAAGGCAACAACUACUGAGAUCAAACCAUUACAGGAAGUGUCACUUGGAAGAUGCAAAGAAACAUGUAUAACUACUCUCAACAAGUAAAAGCAAACAAGAAAGAAAAAUAAAUAAAUAUAUCUUAGUGGAAAUCUUAUAACUGCACAGGGAAACUUAUUAUGUUUUGACUGAAACUUAUAUUGUUGCUCACAGCUUCAUAAACCAUCAUAACUACAUGAAUUUAUUCACACUAAUUCUUAAAUUUCCCAAACAACAAUACUGAUAAAAAAUAAAACAACAAAAUUUCUGAAGCAUUUAUUUCAACUAGACCAUGCUGCAAAAUAAUCCAUACUUGAAUUGCAGCUAUGUGCCCUGCUGUAAUGCCUAUGGAUUCAGAGAAUCUACCAUAAACCAAUUUCCUGAACCCCUCAUCCAAACCCUAAAAGGUACCAAGAGACAAAAAUGCUGAGACUCGAGAACUUUACAUACCAGUAUGCCAUGGAAGCCCAUUCUUGAAUGUAAUCGUGAGUAUAAAGACAAAAGAUCAAAUGUUGGAAACAGUCCAGCACGCUGCAGAACAAAAGACAACCUCUAAUUAAAUUAACAACCAUACAAGAUAUCAAUGAUAUUACUAAAUACUACUCAAUAGGUGAUGUAUAAAAUCACCAAGUCAAAGUUAUUCCACACCAUUUUCUAAUGGAUCAACCUUUUUGGGUUUUUCCCCUUAGUUUGUCCUGACUUUGCCCAUUUUCCUUCCACAUGUUAGUUUAAAUCCCAUUGUGCCCAACACCUAUGGGGUCAUUUGCUUACCGUCCAUUUCAGUUAGUAAAAACAAGGCAUUGGGAUUCUAAAUAAAAGACCUAAUUCAGAAUGGCAAAAUUUUUGCAAAAUAUGCUUUUGUAAAAGAUAGUUUUAAUAGUUACUAAUUUAAGUUCAACCAUCAAGGCUCAGAUUUUUUUCCCUAUGAAGGAAGCAAAACUUGUGGUUCUAGGUUCUAACCAAUCAAUACAAGCAGACAUAUUAACAAUAUAAGUUAGGUCCAUUUCAAGAAAUCUUGACCAUGGGCAUGUCAGGUUCAUUUCAGCCUUAGGUACCCGUAGGUCCCGUACUAAUCCAAUUCAUUAACCCAGCUGGUUGACACUCAUGCACAUGAUUCUAGUAUCUUAUUAUGGAACUCAUCAUAACCCACAUGCUCUUGAUGCAAUUCCUAAGAACACACACACGAGAAAGAAAUAACAUUUAGAUGACUGUCAUAUGCAAUCUUUUCCGAAAAAUUAGCUUUGAAUUUUAAAGUCUAAAACUCAUUGAAUAAACAAAUGCCAAUACCAGACAAAGAAUAUUUAUGUAAAUUAUCCCAAUACCAAAAAAAAGACAUCUAUUCCAAUAUGACACCUCUAGCAUGAGGUUUCAGCUUACAUGAGGAAGCCGCAUUUUUAUAAUCAGAAAUGAUACACUACAUAAGCUUUUCCAAGAAUAAAUGAAAUUAAGAUGCAAUCAGAAAUGACAACAUUAGAAUGCAUGCACAUACACAUAAGAUAUCAGAAAGAACACUCCUAAAAGUUGCCAUGGCAGUUUAAAGUCCCAACAUUUUAGGCUGAUUUAAAAAACUAUGGCGAAAAGAAUUACCUCUAAAAGAGGAGAAGAAGAUUCCAAAGAUGAAUGGAGCAAAGGUAAAUCUUCAGCAUCGAUGCAGGUCACUUCACCACUAGAAAAUUUUGAACCAUACCUUCCAGCCCUCCCUAAAACAAGUAACUCAAUAUGUCAUGAAAUGCAUUAGGCACAUUAAACAAAAGAGCUACACAUAUUUUGAGAUAUAGUCUUUUAGGAAAUUAAGCCAUUAAUGAUGGAUGUUGCCAACAGAUUCAUCAAGUUGCAAACAGACAUGUUUUGAAAUCAACAAGUCAAUACAUUCACAUGUAGGCAGUAAUAUGGGAAGCUGCAACAAUUAUAUAAAAUAAUUGACUGGUUCAGAUGAGCCAUUAAGAAGUGUGGAUCACAUGGCAAGCAAGUAACCCUACUGGAGGCUGUGAUCAAAGUUCAGGUGUCAAUGAGAUGAUGACACAUAUACUAGCAAUUGAAUUCUCCAAACACAUCUGAGGAUAUCAUAUUCAAAAUCCAAAUAAUCUGAUUUGUACAAGAUGGAUGCCAAUCAUAUUCCUAGAAUAACAUCUUUUAACAAUUUUCUUUACUUUACUGACACCUCUUCUCAUUUGCUAUAUGAUGAUGGUCUUUUUUGUCAACCUACUGAGUUGCAUGAAAGGAGCUGAUCUCACCUUCACACUCUGCCUAAAACUACCCCUCAGAGAUGAGAAGCUUGGAGUGUGAAUUGACGUGAGAACUUUUUUCUGCAACCACAGAAGGAAAGCACCAGGAAUAUGCCUAGUGUGACACCCCUCUAACCAAUGAUUUAAAUAGAUGCUUGGGAGCUCGCCUAAGCGCUCGGGUGAGGCGAGGCGAGGCCUGAGCGCCUCAUGUGUGGAUCAGGCGGUGCGCUUCAAUGAGGCGCUACCUGGGCGCUUGCUCGAACCCAGGCACUGGGAGCUUCGGUCAAGCGCCCAGUUCAAUUAAGCGAACCGAACCGAUUUAAGUCUGAUUCGAUUUGUAGUUUCUUACCUCAAAAGCCAUGCUUCACACUUGCGCGACCCCGAGGAACCCUAGCGUUGCUCCUGCCUUUGCCGCUGACACUUUCUACCAUUGCCUUCGCCGCAGAUGCAGCAAACUGAGCCUUCCUAUGUUGUAGACGGACAAGUUCGACGACACCCGUAGCUUCCUUCCAUUGUCGAGAGAGAGGACCGCAGGUUCCUCCGCCAUCAACGGACGCCCUUUGGAGCUUACGUCGCUGCCGCUGCUACUGUCUGCAACUUUCAUCACUGUCGCUGCUACUGUCCGCAGCUUCCGUCGUUGCCACCACUACUGUUCGCAGCUUUCACCACUGUGACUGCUGCUGUCCGCAACUUCCCUCACUGCCGCUGCUACUGUCCACGGCUACCGCCACUAUCGUUGUUGUCGUUCGCAGCGCUGCCACAACUAUCUUAAACUAAUCCUCCACCGCUGCUACUAUCUCCCUCUGUUACUGCUAACAUUUUUUUCUCUCCCUUCUAACUUUAAGUAAUAUACUGUUAACAAUAUAUGUUUAAUUUAAUAUCAUAUUUUUAUUUAAAUAAUUAUAUUUUAAAUUAUAUUAUAUAUUUUUAUAUUUUAAUGAAUAUUUUUUUCUUUCCCUCUAACUUAAGUAAUAUACUGUUAAUAGUGUAUUUUUAAUUUAAUAUCAUAUUUUUAUUUAAAUAAUUAUAUUUUUAGUUAUAUUAUAUAUUUUUUAUAUUUUUAUAUUUUAGAGUGCCUCGUUUCACUCAGGCGAGCGCUUAGUGCUUUUUAAAUCACUAUCUCUAAUAUUAUAAGAUGAUGAAGAGAGAGAGAAGAAAGCCGAAGAAUGAUCAAGAUAACUAGAAUGCCUUACAUAUGCACCAAUUUAAAGCAGGGCUCCUCUUUUGACCUCCCCUAUGUGAGUCAGAGCAGCCUCUAUUGACAUAUUUCCUUCUGCCCAGAUUAUUUCCACCAAGCUCACAUGGGAGAUGGUCCAAAAGUAGUGUGGUGGAGCCACUCAAUGGUUGUUGGCUGACCUGGCCAUCGUCCAGGUGUGUUUAUCCUUAAAAUUAACAAGAUUUACUGGAACUUUGCUUCUUCCUUAAAAUUAACAUAGGCAUGUGAGCCAUUUCUAUAAGUUAAAGAUGGAGGAGAUUCUUUCACUGACUACCUGGCCUUGCACAGCCACCUGCUAACUUUGCAGAAGCACCACCGAGAACAGCAAUCACCUCUACCAGUGACACUUUAUUAAAGGAAUCUAUGCCAAUACAUCCUGCAAGCUCAAUUCACCCCCUAUCUCCAUGUGAAUAAUCAAGAAGAUCAAAAUGGUUAGACAUUGUGGUUGGAACUAGCCGCCACAUGCUAGUGUAUCAAAGAAUUAAACAUCAUCAACAAAAGAAUCAACCUCCAUAGCAAAAUGUACUAAUACCAAAUCACUGAGGUUGUUCCUUCAGACAAAGGACCACCCACCAUAAUAAUGUCAUAUUCAUAAGCUCCCUCUCUUAUCUACACUGUCUGCCAAUUAUGACCUUUCUCUCCAAUUAUACUCCUCUCUUCUACCUCUAUUUCUUCGGAAGAGAAUUUACAGCUUCAUACAUUCUCUUGAGAUAUUGGAUCAAAUGGGACAGUGUCCAUUAAUCUGCAAACACAAGUCCCUCCAAUCUCUAAAGGUUCUUUUGUCCAUUAUCCUGAUUCCACAGCCACUAGCAUGGGAGGGUGUAACUUCCAAUAACUCUUACAUGGUGCAUUUACUUGAUUAGAGAACUGAUGAAUAUAAGGCUUCCAAUAUUCCAGGCAUUAUCACCAACCUAAUGCUAUUCAGCUAAAGCAUAUUUUCCCUAGACCUUCUGGUAAAAAUUCCACAUUUAAUAUUCUUGGUUGAUAAGCAAGAUACAAAAGCACAUACUAAACAGUAAAUAUCAUGUAAUCACUUCAAUAAAUGCUGGAAACAAUUCUGUGUAUUAUACUAAAAUACUAGCAUAACCAAACUAUUUCCUUUCAAUUUGCCAUGUUAUGCUUGGAUGAAAAUACAGUCAUUAUUAUCUCAGAACUAAAAUGAAUAUCAAAAACUAGAUAAUAAGUGAUACCUGCAAUCUGCUUGAUUUCUGGGACUGUGAGUUCUCGGGUAUAUUGACCAUCAAACUUCUUCAGAGUUGAAAAGAUGAUCCUAGAUAUGUUGAGAUUGAGACCCAUUCCAAUGGCAUCACUCGCUACAAGAAUGUCAAACUUGCUGCUUUCAUCAUUGAACAUCUUUGCCUGCAAGCUUCAAGCAUUUCAAUUCGUUGGUAACAAAUAGAACCAACAACUAAACACAAUAAAUAGAUACACUAUGCAAUGAACAUCUUUGCCUGCAAGGUUCAAGCAUUUCAAAUGGCUGAAAUCAAAUAGCACCAGCAACUAAACACAAUAUGUAGAAACAUUAUGUGAUGUGGUAAAAUGUUGUUCAAAUGACACUUAUGUCUGCCAUCAAGAUUGUCUUAUGAAUAUCAGUAUCCAAAAAUUCAUAACUUUCAUGGUAUAAAUCUUUUAGGUAUAAGUCAGGUCCUGAUAUAAGCAAGAAUUUAGCAUAUCUUACCAUGACAUGAUUAUUUAACAUAAAGGAGGAAGGUCAAAGAAAAGCAGGAUUAGCAAAACUAGAGUGAAUGAAAUAAUGUAUAUCACAUUCUUUAGGUUCACUUGAAGAAUGGCAAUUUUUAUUUUUGUUUUGUUAUAAUUCCUCACAGCUAGAUGACCUAUUUCUGUUUGAAGGAUAGUGUUUAAUAUGGAAUUGGAUAUUUUAAUUAUUUGCUAAAACUUUUGUUUAGUUGAAUGCUUAAAGAGGACACCAGUCAGCUCUUAGAUCAAGUAGAUAAUACACUCCUUGAGCUGAAGGCAGUGAACUAGAAUCAGGCCACUGAGUUCUGGUUUGCUGCAUCAUGUUAUCUGAUAACAUGCCAAGCUAUGAGCAAAGGCAUGUUAGCAACAAUAUACAUGUGAAGAACCCAUAAGGAAAGUUAGCUCUAUGAACACCAAAUGUAAGUAUGCAUCCUUGUUUCAUGCCAAUGACCUUAGUUAUGGAAUUUUGGGAAAAAAGAAGCUCAAGCUAAGCAGAAAAAGUUCGAGAGGCUUGUGAUAAUUUUCAAGAAACCAUACAAAAAUAAACAAACAUGUCAAAAGAAGUACUGGUUUCAAGUGUAUAUUCUUUUUAACAAGUUAACUAGAAUAUGGCACUGCAUUUACCAUGACACUUUUUUGCUAUUUAAACAAAGACAUGUUGUUCAGGUCAUAUGGCAAGCAUUAAAAGUAAGGACAGCCCACCUGUUUUGUUCUAGUCUCUGGUGGCAGUGAGCCAUAGACUACAGAACAGAGAUGUUUCCCUCCAGACUCUACUUUCUUCUACAUACCAAUAAAAAAGGUGGAGAAUGAGAGAGAGUGUAAUAGAACACAUAUAGAUAAAUGUGAUACUGCAUUGUACUUUCAUUAUACAUAUAGUGUUGUCUUCCCGAAAAAUAUAUGAAAAAAAGAGAAAUGAAUAAUAUUGCAGAACAUUUCUGUAGUUAAUAAGUUGAUUAGAAAAUGUAAACACUUAAUAUGAACUUGCAAAAGUCAUCUUCCGGUGCAUUAAUAAUAAGCAUAUACAUCAGGUAUUAAAAAGAGGAACACCUAAAAUGACUAUUAGAGCAAUAAAUAAACAAUUUGGUGGUUCUUAUCCCACUAAAAUUCAAAUGACGGUAAACAGAUGCAUGUAGCUUAUCCCAAACAAUUAAAUGUUAUGCUUGUGGACCUUGUGGUAGUAUAAUGCAUUAGUUGCAAUAUGUUAUGAUUAACCAGAAUGCUUCUGAUGUUGCGUUCAACAGAGUUCAAUCACAGUAAAAAGAUAAAUACGUAGGAUCUUACACUCAUUGUUAUAUGAUGAAUAAGUUGCAAUAUUUUAUGAUGAAUCAAUUUAGUUAAACAACAUAUACCAUGCUUUUGGAUUAAAAAUUAAAUCUGGCGAAUGAUGUAAAUAAGACCAUAUAUCAAGGUGUGCAAAACCACCCAAGUGCUUAAAUAAUUUAAUUAUUUGGAAAGUAUAGCAAAAUAUGCAUAAAAAAUGCUCUAAACAUCCUAGUUUAUCAACUUGAAUGCAAGGCACAAGUUAAAGAAAACAACCUAAUUGUGCUGAACUUGUAAUAUUAUGGUUGAUAUAGUUACCUUCUAUUGCACAAAAAAUAAAUAGUUAUUAAAAAUUUAAAGGUGACCUUUAGCUUAUAUAUCUCGCGUCGUGAGAAAGUCACAAUACAAUCACCAUUUCUGAUGUUGGAGAAAGAACCAAGCGGAAAUUUCAAAGGAGUCAGUGGAGACAACCUCUCAUAAUAUUGAACCUGAGCAUAGAUGAGGAAAAAAAUUGUAAUCUAUCAAAGAAGUUACAUACACCCUAAGAAAUCUGCAAAAUCAGUAAAUAUUUAAAUGAUGCUGGUAAAGGUAUAUUUAAGCAUACUAUUUUGGUUUAAUUGAUAUAAUAUUGACAAAGGACUAGAAUGUCAACUGCAUUGUGAUUCAUUACAGUGAGGAAGAAAAAGGAUAAAUAGUUUGAGCAAAUAAUACAACUGAUACAGUGGUUAUAAGGGCACACAAAGUACAAGCAACAAAUAAUGAACGGACUUCUCAAGUACCCCAUAGACUAGCAGCAUCCAUACUCAAGAAGUCAAACAGAAAUGGAGAACAUGAAGGAUUGGGUGCAUUUCUUUUCAUUGCUGAAAUUUCCUGAUUACAUAAAUUGUUUAAUAAUUUGAAUAGGUAAUUUCUCUUCAGUGGACAAACCUUGGUGCCUCAAUGAAGUUCAACUUCAGAAGUUGUUCCUAAAUGACCAUAGUACCCAGGAUUCAUAUCUAGUAACAACCUCUUUGCUUGCAGGGGUAAGGCUACAUAUAUUGGUCUUCCCAAUACCUUGCAUUGGCAGAGCAUAUGCAAGGCAGAGCCUCAUAUGCUACAUCCUUAGUUCACUUCAAUGAGAAUACUGAUUAAGUAAACAAUUCCAAAUAAUGCCUAGUGGUGUGGCAUGAGUAGUAUAAUUAGUAAACAUCAAACACGAUGAACAGUUAAGACGGUUAAAAGGAUGAGAUCUUGUAUAUCAAGAAAUUUCAACUGAAAACAAAGAGAUGGUAAAUAAUCUAAUAACACCCAUGAACUAGAUCUUAGAUUUGAUUACUAUCAACUCUUUCUGAAGAAGUAGCAAGAAAUAUUAUGGUGUUUCAAUUCCAAAGUGAACCUGGAUUCCCAAUCAUAACAAUUCACUUGCUAAAUCUCAAAACACCAAAUUUUCCACAACAAUCAUUAAAAUGAAAAUGUUACAUCUACAUCUAUUUUAUAUAAAUAGAAUAUACUGACUUAGAGUCAAAAUUAAUCUUGGGAGGACAUCUGCAACACACACAAACUAGAAGGGUUAAACAUGCAGUUAAAAGUUAAAACCUUCAAUGCUAUGACCAUAAAGCAUAUGAAAUUCGUUAGGCGAAAUGAGAUCAUCAACUAUAAUACUAAGCAUACCAUUUAUCUGUGGUAUAAGGUAUCUAAUAGCUAAGUAUCUAAUUAUAUUAAACAACUAAAUAACCUUUAUCACAUCGCCAGUCACUUCAAUUAUUCUUUGAACAAGAGGAACUGCUGCAGGAUCUCCACAGAGAUGAAGUUCAUCAGCAGAAAUCCCUAAUAGUGCACGCGUAAAUGAAAAUCCCCUUGUUCUACACCCCACCAUCUAAAAUACCAAAGUAAAAGAUUAAAUUAAACAAAAGUCAAAUAUAGCAUAUAAGAACAACUAAUUUCUUCUUAUGAUUGUAAAACCCAACCAACAAAAAAAUACUAGGAAUCUUAUAAAACAACUAAAAAUUUUCUACUGAUCCUGAUUACAUUUACAUGAAAAUGAUAUUUCAUCGACAAUAACAAACACAAUAGUUUCUUUCAUAUUAACAAAGGCUGAAGAGAUCAAACAGAAAAAAAAUGAACUUUCACUAAUAAGUUAUGUUUAAGCUGUAAGAGAAAAUACCAAAGCGUCAAACUCUACAUCAUGCUGACUUUCUGUAGGAGUUUUAUGUGCCAAUUGCAAGCUCCAUUGGCUUGCAUGGCUCAGUGUUAUAGACACUAACAUGGACCCAACUAAGCUUAUCAAUAGAUCCUGGAAGAUGACAAGGUGCAUGUUAGUCUAACAUAGCAUGGCAUGACUCCACACACAUUAUUCAGACCUUUGAUAAGCACGAACAUAAGAAAUUUUAAAAAAUAUGGCUAAUCAUGAUUUGGAUUAACUAAUCUGAAUUGGGAUACAUAAAAACUUAUUCUAAUUUGUCCAUUUUUUUAACCUCAUCAAUUUGAGACCAAAUUUGGCCAUCCAAGGUGGGUUAAACCAAGAUUUAGCAAUUUAUAUAUCAGGGGCCAUCAUAGGAAAGCAUCUUACAUAUGUUUAUUGUUUAAAAACAGAAAUAUAUUAUUAUGGGCAUCAAAUAGAUCCACAAUUUUGUAAUUAACUUUUAUAUUUGUAUUUUUUUGUCAAAUAUUUCAAAAAAAGGUCAGCUGAUUAAAUUUUAAUAUUUACUAAUCGUUAGCUGCUCUGAUUGGACCUCUGGAUCACUUAAACUGGCCAAUGUGGAUAUUAUUAAUGAUAAGUCUCGAUCCUAUUCACAAUAUGUAGCCCUUGAUGACAAACCAAUCGAUUACAUAUCUUAGUAUAUAGCCCUCAGAUAUUGAUAGUUAUUCUGGAAUCUAAACUAGAAGCCUAUAAUAAGCAAUAAAAAUAUUAGCCAAGAUCAAGGUUCGCCUUAUCGGUCCAUACCGGUAUACCGACAUAUGGUACAUGAGGACAUACCAAUAUAUUGCCUGUACCGAUUCCCUAUUAGACCACAUGUACCACUCAUACUGAGCAGUACGCCAUGAUAUGGUGAACCUUGCCUAAGAUGAUAGUAAUGGUAAAGAUAGUAUAUAAAUCCAGAAAUUUGAUGCAAAAGAGUGUCCUCAUGCUUUUAAGUUAAAAAUAACUAGAAAUUGCAACACACACCUGGAUUUCAUCAACAACAGCACACUGAUAUUCACUGGUUACAUCAGCCAUUUCAACAGUUACUGAGCUGUGCCUAGCACCAUCAAUGUCCUCUCUUUCUUGUCCAGUAAUCAGAUUACAAGGAACAUUUGCUUUAUUUAACCUUUGUGCCACCUCCCAUGCCAAUAACCUUAGAGGUCCACAAUAUACUCCUUCAACAAAUUACAAUUCUAUAUAAAUUUAGUUUCAGUGCACACGAACAUAUAAUUUAAACAGAAAAUAAGAUUAUAGCACCUGAGGAGCUUGAUUCUAAACACUUGAGAGCAUUAUGAGUUUUCCCACUAUUUGUAGGUCCAACGUGCAAAAAUAUAUUCCGUUUCUUUCUCCGAGCAAGCGGAUACCAUGUAUGAGGAUGACUGCAAUCAAGUACAUAUUCAGGGAUGAUACUUCCUGUCUAAGAAUGCUUAAUAAUAUAGGUAUUAAGUCACACAAACAUGAAAGAAACAUAUCAAUGCUGGCCCAUUAUGUUGAAUUAGUUCCAGUAAGUAACCACGUUAAGUUUGUUCCACUAGAACAUGGGUGGCAAGGGGUCGAGAUAGAACAGCCUUGCUAAAUACAUCAAUGGAACUCUGUACAUUUAACCCUCCCCAAGACCUAUAUUAGCAGAAAGAAUUUUCAUGUACCAUGCCACCAUUUCUUGGUUCAGAUGCAUCCAAAAUGUUUCAUUCAUUGAUUCUGUGCAAAGCUGUUUUACCUCCACAAUAUAUGCUAGAUAAAGUGCCAUAAAUAUCCCUAUUAUGUCAACUGAUACCAAACCUAGACCAGGAAUUUCCUAGCUAUGCAGAUGUGUCUAAGCAGAAAGGACAACAACUAAAAGUUGUAUGGAACCAUGAACGAGCAUCCUAAACACACAACCUUACUAUAUGUUUAGAAUGUAGGUACUGAAACUCAUGAGCUAUAUGCAAUACUGACGCAUCCUGAUGUUUUAUGUUCAAAAUCAAAAGGUCAAGCACUGCAUCCUGAGAAAAAUAAAAUGGGUAAUGAAGUGGUCUACAUCUUGUACAAUAUCUUUCUUAAAACAUGGUAGCUAUGCCACAAAAGGUAAACAAACUAUGUAUUAUUGCACAGACACAAACAAAGUGCUAUGCUACAAGUACAAUGAAUGUUGGAAGAAAAUAGGAGAAUGUUACUGAAUGCAGCACAAUAAAGUGAACAAAGAACAUAGAGAAUAGCAGAAUGGAAAAAUAAAACUCAGAAGCUUAACAACAGAUACCCAAUUUUUGUUGGUCUUUUUGGCUAACCUUUAGCUUCUAAACAACACAGACUGAAUGUAGUUAAAAAAUUCUUGACCUUCAUGAGGAGAAACCAAAAAUUAAGAGCACAAGAUGGAACAAACUCUAUCAUAUACAAAGUUGAACUAUGUUUAGAUAAUAAAAGGACCUAAGAUUCUUUAAAUUAUCUAAAAUCCAAAGUCUCACGCCUAUCCAGUAAGUUGUAAACCAGGCCAAAUUAUUUCUAUAAAAUAGAUUCUACAUCAAGAAUAGAAUAUGUUCUUUGGGAGUUUAAACACACACCUAUAACAGCUAACAACUUUCAGAAUAAAUUCUAGCAAGGACACUAACAUUGAGAAGUACAAUAAUCAAGUAGACAAAAGAUGACAAAAUGAAAAUUUGUUCAAGUAUAUCAGUGGGAAACUAAUAAACAGAGAAAUGGGGAACAAGGAAUCCACGGUCAUGUGGAGAACAAAGAAAAUUUAGCAACAUUAGAAGCUACAAGGAAAAUCUAGAAAGCAUCCGAAUUGCAACAUGCUGUAUUCAGUAGGAACAAUUAGCUAAAAAUCUUGUAAAACUGAACCUACAUAUGGCUGCAAGUCCACAAGGCUAGUCAUGGAGAAUAAACAAGUACAAAAGGCAACUGAAGUGAACUAGACAAUAGGGGCGGUAGGAUCAUGAGAUUGUGCCUCACUCAAUAACAAAAUAAAACUGAAAUUCACAUAAAAAACUUGCUGAAAAUUUUCCAAUAAUGCUAAACAUGCAGAAAAUUCUUACGUCAAGUCAGUCAAGUCAAACUUCCCUGAGCUCUGGAAACUGCUCAAACACCUCAAACCAGAAAAAGCAUGUAAACGUAAUUGGAAAUCCAACUUCAGGAAAAUAGAGCAAGACAUGCUAUCUGCAAAAUACAUACCAUAUUCAACUAAAAUAAUUCAUAACCUUGCAAUUUAGCUACAAACUAAAGCCUAAGAUACUUCCGUUCUCAAGAAAAUAAGGAGAUUAUUAUAUCUACAACAACAGCAACAAUAACACCAAUGCCAAACCCAAGGCUGAAUGAAAAAAUGGUCAGAUUUCAUUAGGCCACCCAGUGUGGAACUGUUCCAGAACUAACAAGAACAAAAUCAUUUUUUAGGGUAAAAAAUUGACUAUAAAAAUAUUUUUAAAAUGUUCCAAGCAUCUUCAACGGCCAAAAUAAGAAAAUUUACACCUCUAGAUACAGAAUAACCUAUACAAAAUUCGAAGAAUAUUCUUACUCAGUUUUUAUAUAUCAAAUUUAUCAUAAGAACUUAAUUAGGUUAAAUGGAAAAGUUAUAUUGGUAUUUGGAACAUGUGUUCUAUUGACAAAAGCAGAAUGUUUGGCAAAACACAGUGCAUAGACAAAAAAAAAAACAUGAAGACUUCAUUACUUGGACCAAAGAGAAUCCUUCCAAUUGACAUCAAACUACACAUAGCCUACCAUGCUGGAUGCAUGUAUCAUAGAAACGUCUGGGGCAGCUGACUGUAGAAACAUGACAUGAAUCUGAUUUGGCUGUAAUAGCUUGCCAACUAAUGAAUAUAUGAUAAUGAACAAUCUUAUGUUGUAGGUCAUCACAAAGAUGUUGAGUCUUCAUCAUUUUCAAAUUGGGAUGGUCCACCAAAUCCUUUUUCCUUAGAAUUGGAUUGAUUGCCGUAGUCUUCCUUGUCAAUGGUUCCCUACUCAUCAUAUGUUGGGAAGGUUUGCCUUUUGAUAAAUGUGUCAACAUAUUCUUAUCAUCUAAAAUUCUGUUAGAAACAGAACCUUUUAAAUAGUUUCCCUUAUUACCUAAUUCAGGGAAACAAAUUUAGAAGAAGUUUUUUUAGCUUACCCCACCUGCGGUGAAGAUUCCAGUGUAGCUUUUAUUACUACAUUGUAAGGGCAACAGGAUCUGUUGGUGGCCGUCAUUCACCUCCUUCCUCAAAAGAAAGCUCGGUAUCAUUCCCAGCUGCGCUUUCUUAUAAAUAUGGGUAAUCAGGCAAAGCUACUAACAUGUGUUAAGAAACGUUGUCCCAUACAAAUCAGUACUCAUCGAGUUCGUUAUCUAUUACAUUGCCCAGUGGAACUAAUUGGAGCAUUUGAACCUAAUAACUCAAAUCACAAAAAAUAAAAAAUAAAAAAACCCAAAAAAAGGUCCACGGGCAGUGUCUAGAACGCCCAAAAGGAAGAACUCUGCGAUUCAGAAGAAGAAAGCUUAUCUCUUCGAAACAAAACCUCGUAAUUUGGGCGGAGUUGAAGAGGAGAGUCGCCAGCGAAGAAAGGAGCAAGACAUCUGCGCGUUCGCUUUGAUCUGCGAUCCAAGCGAGGUCAAGAAGACAUGGCGACGAAUAAGUCGGCAACGGUAGUGGGCCAGGAGAGAUCCAAGGAGGGAUGUGAGUUGAAGAGAGGAAUGGUAGGAAGGAAGGGGGAGAGAGUCGCGGCCGUAACUCCACGGGUAGGAACUUCGAAUCUUCUUUCGGCGUGCCUAUGGUAGGCCUGUCGAGAAAGGCCUAUUUGGGCCGCCAAUUGAAAUAUCCUGGUCCAUUGUACACAAACUAGUUCUUCUGCACGUGCAUAACACGUGUCCAUACACACGAAGUAACCCGCAGCAGAUUUGCUCUUUCGGAUAAACCGGCUCUUUUGCACGUGCAGUACACGUGAGAAUAUAAUUAAGGCAAGAUUAUAUUAUAUAGCAGAGCAAACUCAAUUAGUUAUACUAAUGCAUUUAAUUUCCAUUAGCCACUGCCCAAUAAAAACUCGUUAUGAUAUUAAAAAUAUUUUAGAUAUUUAUUUUUGCAUGUAUUUGAAAAAUGAUUAACGUCGAUGAUCUAAGACGGAUGUUAAUGUAAAUGGCACAUGCAAAACGUUUUAGUGUUUGAAGAGGCUGUCAAAUAUGCUAAUUUCAGAAAUUACUUGAAAGUCAAAGAUCACAUUUUUCCUUACAUUUGGGGUCAAUCUAAAAUAUGCAACAAUUUUCUUAUUCGCACAAAUAAAUGUAAAUAAAAUCCUUCAGUCAAAAUAGAUUAUUUCAUGGAAGGACUUAACGCAAAUAACAAAAGAAAAAUGGCCGAAAUGUAAACUAACAACACACCGAUAGCAAAAGCAAGAAAACGAUAUAAAAAAGGAGUCGAACAGUGUCAGAGAAAGCAUCCAGCCAUUCAAUGCGAUUGCCUUGAUCAAUGAGGAAAAGGUUGCGGUCAUCACCUCUCAUCCAAAAGGGUCUCAGUACUGCCCGCAAUUAGUUCCUGUUUUGGUGGUCCAUGGAGAAAACCUUCCUGUAUGUUUUAGCUCAUUAUGUGAAGGAGAACGACAGGAAAGAAGAUACAAACCGUGCAUCUGUGUGAUACCGUCAGGUUAACACUCAGAGCCACAGUGACUUCCUAGUUGGAAAGAUACGUGAACAGUAACAGGACAACGACAAUGGAGGGAGGAAGAAAAGCCUAAGUCCAUGAGUAGAAAACUGGAAGCUUGAUAUGAGACAGAUAGUGAAAGCAAGUAAUAUGGUAGAGGUCUCAGAGCUGAACUCUGAAAAGCCCUGAGGCAGUGAUACUUUUACCUGGAGUAGGGGCCUUCCAUGAUCUGCUCUAGAAUAAAUCCAAGGGAUGGUGCAU
This 16949-nucleotide long non-coding RNA is filed under the name Musa acuminata (dwarf banana). Its description in RNAcentral is "long non-coding RNA (MACU_LNC004231)". Lineage: Eukaryota; Viridiplantae; Streptophyta; Magnoliopsida; Zingiberales; Musaceae. The record is from RNAcentral.